GCCGGGGUGGCGGAAUUGGUAGACGCAGUGGAUUCAAAAUCCACCGGUAGCAAUACCAUGCGGGUUCAAGUCCCGCCCCCGGUACCA
RNAcentral lists this transfer RNA (87 nucleotides) under Candidatus Thiodiazotropha endolucinida. Its description in RNAcentral is "tRNA-Leu". It matches the Rfam family "tRNA". Rfam says of the family: Transfer RNA (tRNA) molecules are approximately 80 nucleotides in length. Their secondary structure includes four short double-helical elements and three loops (D, anti-codon, and T loops). Further hydrogen bonds mediate the characteristic L-shaped molecular structure. tRNAs have two regions of fundamental functional importance: the anti-codon, which is responsible for specific mRNA codon recognition, and the 3' end, to which the tRNAs corresponding amino acid is attached (by aminoacyl-tRNA synthetases). tRNAs cope with the degeneracy of the genetic code in two manners: having more than one tRNA (with a specific anti-codon) for a particular amino acid; and 'wobble' base-pairing, i.e. permitting non-standard base-pairing at the 3rd anti-codon position. RNAcentral also lists the same sequence under 10 other names. Lineage: Bacteria; Pseudomonadati; Pseudomonadota; Gammaproteobacteria; Chromatiales; Sedimenticolaceae. The record is from RNAcentral.